GCGCGGAGCACGAGGAAUUCUGCGUGAAUCUGCCGGGACCAUCCGGUAAGGCUAAAUACUCCCGAGAGACCGAUAGUGAACCAGUACUGUGAAGGAAAGGUGAAAAGCACUUCGAACAGAAGAGUGAAAUAGUUCCUGAAACCAUGUGCCUACAAGCGGUCGGAGCACCUUCUGGUGUGACGGCGUGCCUUUUGCAUAAUGAACCUACGAGUUACUUUUUCCGGCGAGGUUAAGGAUUUCAGAUCUGCAGCCGAAGCGAAAGCGAGUCUGAACAGGGCGUAUAGUCGGAAGGAGUAGACGCGAAACCAAGUGAUCUACCCUUGGGCAGGUUGAAGGAUGGGUAACACCAUCUGGAGGACCGAACCAAUAAGCGUUGAAAAGCUUCUGGAUGACCUGAGGGUGGGGGUGAAAGGCUAAUCAAACUUGGAGAUAGCUCGUACUCCCCGAAAUGCAUUUAGGUGCAGCCUUGACUUAUACUGGCAUGAGGUAGAGCGACUGAUAAGAUGCGAGGGCUUCACCGCCUAUCAAGUCUUGACAAACUCCGAAUGCGUGUCAGUUCUAUGUCAGGAGUGAGGGCAUGGGUGCUAAGGUCCAUGUCCUAAAGGAGAACAAUCCGGACCAACAGCUAAGGUCCCGAAAUGAAUACUAAGUUGAACUAACGAAGUCAGAUUGCUAAGACAGCUAGGAUGUUGGCUUGGAAGCAGCCAUUCAUUUAAAGAGUGCGUAACAGCUCACUAGUCGAGGAGUUUGGCGUGGAUAAUAAUCGGGCAUAAGUAUUCUACCGAAGCUUUGGGAUGAGAAAUCAUCGGUAGGGGAGCAUUCCACUCGGCGUCGAAGGUGAAGCGCGAGCUUUGCUGGAGCGUGUGGAAAAGCAAAUGUAGGUAUAAGUAACGAUAAAGGGGGUGGGAAACCCCCUCGCCGAAAGACUAAGGUUUCCUGAUCAACGCUAAUCGGAUCAGGGUAAGUCGGGUCCUAAGGCUCAGCCGAACGGCGAGGCCGAUGGCAGAACCGGUUAAUAUUCCGGUACUACCUGUGGGAGUGACGUGGAGACGGAGUCGUGACAGCGCCGCGGACUGACGGAAUAGUCCGUUGAAGGGUGUAGAUGCUGAUUGUUCCAGGCAAAUCCGGAGCAAGAGUCGAACCUGACAGUAUGGAGCGUUCUUAGAACAAUCCAAUAGUGCGUGUAAUCAUACUUCCAAGAAAAUCCGCUAAACUUAAUCCUGCAGGUACCCGUACCGCAAACGGACACACGUAGUCGGGUUGAAUAUACUAAGGCGCUUGAGUGAUUCACGGUUAAGGAACUAGGCAAAUUGACCCUGUAACUUCGGGAUAAAGGGUCCCAACGAGAGUUGGGCGCAGAGAAUAGGUCCAGGCAACUGUUUAACAAAAACACAGGGCUGUGCCAAAUUGAAAGAUUACGUAUACAGCCUGACACCUGCCCGGUGCUGGAAGGUUAAGAGGAGAUGUCAUCGCAAGAGAAGCAUUGAAUUGAAGCCCCAGUAAACGGCGGCCGUAACUAUAACGGUCCUAAGGUAGCGAAAUUCCUUGUCGGGUAAGUUCCGACCUGCACGAAUGGUGUAAUGAUCUGGACGCUGUCUCAACCGUGAGCUCAGUGAAAUUGUAGUAUCGGUGAAGAUGCCGAUUACCCGCGAUGGGACGAAAAGACCCCGUGAACCUUUACUAUAGCUUAACAUUGAAUUUGGGUAAUUGAUGUGUAGGAUAGGCCGGAGGCUUUGAAGCGGGCACGCCAGUGUCCGUGGAGCCGCUGUUGAAAUACGGCCCUUUGAUUAUUUGAGUUCUAACCCGUUGUUGCGGGGACACUGUUUGGUGGGUAGUUUGACUGGGGUGGUCGCCUCCAAAAGUGUAACGGAGGCUUCUAAAGGUGCCCUCACGACGAUUGGUAACCGUCGGCAGAGUGUAAUGGCAUAAGGGCGCUUGACUGGGAGACUUACAAGUCGAUCAGGUAGGAAACUAGAGCAUAGUGAUCCGGUGUUUCCGUAUGGAAGGGACAUCGCUCAAAGGAUAAAAGGUACUCCGGGGAUAACAGGCUGAUCCCUCCCAAGAGCUCAUAUCGACGGAGUGGUUUGGCACCUCGAUGUCGGCUCGUCACAUCCUGGGGCUGGAGAAGGUCCCAAGGGUUGGGCUGUUCGCCCAUUAAAGUGGCACGCGAGCUGGGUUCAGAACGUCGUGAGACAGUUCGGUCUCUAUCUAUCGUGGGCGCAUGAAAUUUGCGUGGCUCUGACACUAGUACGAGAGGACCGUGUUGGACUGACCUCUGGUUUACCGGUUGUGCCGCCAGGUGCAUUGCCGGGUAUCUAAGUCGGGAUUGGAUAAGUGCUGAAAGCAUCUAAGUACGAAGCCAGCCACAAGAUUAGAUUUCUCAGGGUCGUUGUAGACUACGACGUUGAUAGGAUGCAGGUGUACAGGCAGCGAUGUCAUAGCCGAGCAUUACUAAUUGCCCGUCCACUUUUU
RNAcentral lists this ribosomal RNA (2472 nucleotides) under human gut metagenome. RNAcentral's name for it is "bacterial LSU rRNA". It matches the Rfam family "Bacterial large subunit ribosomal RNA", at positions 415 to 2925 of the family's 2925-position model. The record is from RNAcentral.